CACACAGGGAAAAUACACAUCAAUGUUUUCAAUAGGACCCAAUGGUCAUUUAAAUAGCUAUAACCUUAACCAUUAGUGGGGAAAAUGCAACAUCCCACUGGUCAAAGCAACAUCCCACUGGUCAAAGCAACAUCCCACUGGUCAAAGCAACAUCCCACUGGUCAAAGCAACAUCCCACUGGUCAAAGCAACAUCCCACUGGUCAAAGCAACAUCCCACUGGUCAAAACAACAUCCCACUUUGUCUCACUAGUUGAAUCAACGUUGUUUCCAUGUCAUUUCAGGAAAAAAAAGAUGACAUUGAAUCAACGUACAAAACUGAUUGAAUUUGCAAAAAGUCGUCAACUUUGAACCUAAAUCCAAUGACAUGAUGACAUUUUUGUUGAUUUCAAGUUGAGUUCACGUUAGUUGAUAACUCAACCAAAUGUAAAUCCAAACUAGACGUUGAAAUGACGUCUGUGACCAGUGGGUUUCAACACAUGACCGUUUCAACUCAUGAAACAGACAAUGAAAACAUUGAAGCAUUUUCAAGGCUCUGUUCCAUAUCCAACAGCUCAAUCAAAGAACUCCAGUCUGAACAAAGGAAGCUGGGUUUGGCCAUAAACAACAAGUAAGCAUAUUUCAAGGUGAAUCAACCAAUCACAUUCCACUACUACCCCAACGUGUCCUGUCAUGUCUCAACUUCCUCAACAUCAUGACUUGGGUUAGAACAACAUCAGGGUGUUGUGUAAUAUGUGAAUUAUCAUCUUCCUCUGCCUUCUAGUAUGAUGACUACAGGUCUCUAUCUCUCAGUCUAUCUUCUUCCUCCUCGGCCUUCUAGUAUGAUGACUACAGGUCUCUAUCUCUCAGUCUAUCUUCUUCCUCCUUGGCCUUCUAGUAUGAUGACUACAAGUCUCUAUCUCUCAGUCUAUCUUCUUCCUCCUCGGCCUUCUAGUAUGAUGACUACAGGUCUCUAUCUCUCAGUCUAUCUUCUUCCUCCUCGGCCUUCUAGUAUGAUGACUACAGGUCUCUAUCUCUCAGUCUAUCUUCUUCCUCCUCGGCCUUCUAGUAUGAUGACUACAGGUCUCUAUCUCUCAGUCUAUCUUCUUCCUCCUCGGCCUUCUAGUAUGAUGACUACAGGUCUCUAUCUCUCAGUCUAUCUUCUUCCUCCUUGGCCUUCUAGUAUGAUGACUACAGGUCUCUAUCUCUCAGUCUAUCUUCUUCCUCAUCGGCCUUCUAGUAUGAUGACUACAGGUCUGUAUCUCUCAGUCUAUCUUCUUCCUCCUCGGCCUUCUAGUAUGAUGACUACAGGUCUCUAUCUCUCAGUCUAUCUUCUUCCUCCUCUGCCUUCUAGUAUGAUGACUACAAGUCUCUAUCUCUCAGUCUAUCUUCUUCCUCCUCGGCCUUCUAGUAUGAUGACUACAGGUCUGUAUCUCUCAGUCUAUCUUCUUCCUCCUCGGCCUUCUAGUAUGAUGACUACAGGUCUCUAUCUCUCAGUCUAUCUUCUUCCUCCUCGGCCUUCUAGUAUGAUGACUACAGGUCUCUAUCUCUCAGUCUAUCUUCUUCCUCCUCGGCCUUCUAGUAUGAUGACUACAGGUCUCUAUCUCUCAGUCUAUCUUCUUCCUCAUUGGAAACAACCUGCAUCUUCAUCACAUUAGAUAUGAGAAAAUAAACAAACACAAAUACUCUGUCAUUUUUCAGUUUGUUUUGUACUCAAUAUUUCCAUUUGUCUCAUUUUUACAAACACUCAUAUGCAGCGUGCUACUCACAGAGGUCACAGAGGUUGACAAGGGCUCAUAACCACGGCAACCAGAGUAGGUCACAUGGUUUACAGGAAGCCAGCUUGUGUUUUAGAGAGUGAUGAGUCUGUCUGGGUUUUUACCAUAACCUCCUUCCUCCUUCACCAAAAACACUUGUUUAAGAGACAGAGGCUGGAGACAAUGUCUUCAUAUGAUUUGGCAUAUUACAAAACAGCUAAUCGUGAUACACGUACUACACUGUAAUAUAUGAGCUAAUGUUACAAGCAGGGGGCUUGUGUAAAUGAUGCUGACAAAAUGUGCCAAUGGGAACCGGGCCUGUAUUCACAAAGCAUCUCAGACAAGUCGUGCUGAUCUAGGAUCAGGUCCCCCAUGUCUCGUUGUGAUCUCAAAGCCUAAACUGAUUCUAGAUCAGCACUCCUAAUCUGAGACACUUUGUGAAUACGAGCCCUGAUUAAAACUGUCAGUCAGGCAGCACUGAAAAACAGGAAAUAGAUCCUUUUUGGUAUUUAUCUCACAUUCCCCAGGUUCCAUGUAGAACCCUUUCCACAGAGGGUUCUAUAUGGAACCCAUGAUCUCCCUCCCCUCCUUCUCUCUUACCACCCAU
Long non-coding RNA from Oncorhynchus keta (chum salmon), 2341 nucleotides. RefSeq lists it as uncharacterized. The record is from RefSeq and is a predicted model, not a curated record. The transcript is spliced from 3 exons. Lineage: Eukaryota; Metazoa; Chordata; Actinopteri; Salmoniformes; Salmonidae.